GAUGAACGCUGGCGGCGUGCUUAACACAUGCAAGUCGAACGGACAAGAUGAAGCCUAGCGAUUCUUGUUAGUGGCGGACGGGUGAGUAACGCGUGGGUAACCUGCCCUGUACACACGGAUAACAUACCGAAAGGUAUGCUAAUACGAGAUAAUAUGCUUUUAUCGCAUGGUAGAAGUAUCAAAGCUUUUGCGGUACAGGAUGGACCCGCGUCUGAUUAGCUAGUUGGUGAGGUAACGGCUCACCAAGUCGACGAUCAGUAGCCGGACUGAGAGGUUGAACGGCCACAUUGGAACUGAGAUACGGUCCAGACUCCUACGGGAGGCAGCAGUGGGGAAUAUUGGGCAAUGGGCGAAAGCCUGACCCAGCGACGCCGCGUGAGGGAAGAAGGUCUUCGGAUUGUAAACCUUUGUUGAUAGGGACGAAGAGAUGACGGUACCUAUCGAGGAAGCCACGGCUAACUACGUG
This 466-nucleotide ribosomal RNA is filed under the name uncultured bacterium. RNAcentral's name for it is "bacterial SSU rRNA". It matches the Rfam family "Bacterial small subunit ribosomal RNA", at positions 28 to 507 of the family's 1533-position model. The record is from RNAcentral.